AAAGAGAGAAGAAGGGGGAUGCCGGAAAGGGAGAGAGAUAGGUAGAUCAGUGCGCGUGCACGUAGUAAUAGUAGGCUACGGGUAGAAAGAGAAAUAUAUAGAUCGUGUAUCAUUGUAUGUGUGUGUUAUAUCUGUACGUAUAUAUAAUGUGCGUAGCCUAGGAAGAGCAAGAGAGAAAUGACUAGGAUUCAACGGAAGAGCGCGAACGCGUACGACGAAGACUUAGCAGAAAUUGACGGUCGUUCGCUGCGUUUGGAUCAUCGCAUCGCGUCGUGACAAACGUGUCGUAUAUACCACCGACGGAUGGAUGGACACACACGUUGGGUUGAAUUUUCGACGGCCGCGUUUUAGUUGUUUGUCGCGUUGUGCAGCGGCGCUCACGACGUUGGGACGCCCACCACCUGUAGUGCUCACCCUCUUUUCCUCGCGGCCAACCGUCCUUCCGCGCGCGCCAUAGGCGCGCGCACUCGCGCUAUGUCGUCCUUUCGGCCCGCUUCCCCUUUCAUGCUGUACGUUCCGAUCGAGUGGGGGAAACGAAUUUUAAAUUCACGUCUAUGUUGUGGUUGUCAUCGCGAGUCUUUGUCAUCGUCCGUAAUGCGGUUCAUUUGACGCUGAGUAGUAAAUUGCAACGGAAAUCAUGUUUAUAAACAUAACCACAAACAGAGAGCUAUGCGACAAGGUUCGCCGAGUCAUUAUGUUCGAGCUAAGGGUGUCAGCUUUGAAACACGUAUGCGACGUGUUUUCGUCGCUAGGCGCUGGAGUAUGAAGAAAUUACAGCACUUUAGCGUAUCUACGCCUAUUUAGCCUUGGACAAAACGAAGCAAAUGCGUACUUCAUACUUUUACGCUCGUUCGCAACAGGUACAGUUACGUUUCAUCCAAAGGAUCCUUUCGAAUUAAUAGAGCAAUCGCGACGCAGCUGGGCCGUAGACGUUUUAAAAAGAACGUGGCGCGUGUCUCGAAGAAUUCCUAGUUAAUUCCCGCGGCUAAUUGGACGGAAAUGAAAAUUAAAAAGUUGGUUGGUUCGCUAACAAGAGACAAAGCAGAAAAGAAACAGUCUGGGACAGGGGAUCGGAGGGCAGAACGGAGGUGGAACGCUGGAAUGGAGGCGACGAGGCUGAAGGGUGGCCGCUAGUUGCGAAGCAAACACUUUUGAAGUCCUCAUAGCUGUCCGGGGCCCGACGUUUACCGUGUCAUUAGCGUCAAGAUAAGUCCGCCCCUGGAAAAUAGUAGAAUCUACUCUCAAUGCAAGAUCAAAGGGAAAUCCACUUCGCUGAACAAUGAAGGGGAUUACGAGUUCGGAAAUAUUUAUUUCUCGUUUGGGUAAAUCGACAUGAGAAAUCGGCAAAUCCGUAGGCAAAACACGAAAGUUGGUAGUCGAGCUACUUUAGCUACCGAGGGCUCUUAUCUUUCCCUUGAGCACAACAAAACAAAGCUCCGCCAUUUUUCCUUGCUCCUUUUGUACGUGCCGCUAUGCAAACGUCAAUCGUUCGAAGCUCUUAUCGAUCUAGCGAUUCGAGGCCCUUGCUUUGUUUCUUGCUGUUGAAUGCCUUACCUGUUGCUCCCUUACGAAAUUAGGCAAACAUUUUCCGAACGUCAACUUCGGUUUAUUAUUCAUACGUCUUGUACACGUACAAUAGAUAAAUCUUCGUGGCAGCGUGAAGUAAACAGAGAAUCGCACUUUCAGCAUGAAAUUUCCUAAAUAUAUGGAGAACGAUAAAAUGUAUAAUUUGUCCAAAUUCGUUAAAGAAAGCAAAGUAAUACAAGAAUGGAAUCUGUACCCGCUACUAGCAAAGUAUGAAUCAUUGAUAAAAAAAAUUCAUCUCCUAAGAUUACUUAUUCUUUCCGUGGAUUGAGCGUAUAAGAAGUCAGAUUUCUUAAAAAAUAAACCUUCAUAAGUUUGUUUAUAGCACGAAGAUGAAAUAAGGAAUCGUAAAUUUCGAAAACUAACGUUUGUAAUAUUAACACUUCCUUCUGUUUUGAAACUAUGGAGCUGACUAAUGCAACUUUUCAGUUUUAUGAAAAAUUUCAGCCCAACCUCACGUUGUAAUACCAUCAUCGACCUAUUAUUCAUCACAAAUGUGUAUUGUACAAGCAAUAAUUCUGUCAUUAAAGUAUCAUAAAAUCUCACAGCUUACAAGUUCGUCAGACAACUUGCAUUACUCAUAGAUUCUAAAAGUCUUGUAAUAAAAUCAACGUAGAAGUGGAUUCACAGGCAUAUUAGCGCCGCGUGAUCCUUCGAUACAUUCACGAGAAAGUUUAAAGAGUACGACCCAAUUCUAUCGGAACCUGUAGAAGCUGCUUUGUUCGUCAUUGGUGAUUUAUCCGGGGUGUCGUUAGCCAGCCGCAAUAAAGCACCGUAACGAUCAAAUAAUCGUUAUAUAUAGUUAUAGAAGAAGUUGGUCGCUGUUUCAUCGGCAGUGAACCGACGCUGUGUAAAGAUCGACCGAACGUAAUUGUAGUUUCAACCACGGGAAACAGAAGAAAGAGAAAGAGAGAAGGUAAGGAGCUGGCGCAGCUGUUUCGCAUAAGUCUUUCGGGAAGAAUAAUAUCUUGGCCAGUGCAAGCGUUCGGUCUACGAAAAGAUGCGAGAGCUGGCUUAAUAGCUCGUGCAUCAGUGUGAAUUCACAUGAAACAUCCGUUCAGUGGCUGUAUCGUUUCGUGCAUAUGCUGCUCGAAAAAUGACACGACGAAUCGUCAGGGUGAACUUGGACGACUGAGCGAGAAUUUAUUAUUACGAUAGAAGUUGAACGAAGUGUGAAAUGAUUUUUAAGAUGCUGGAAUACUCGAGAUGGUUACGACGAAGAGGAUUUUUAGCGGAUCAAUUUUCUUCGAUCCGUCAUUGAUCAUGGAAGUUCAUUUUCUUCCGACGUUCUUGUAACGACGAUAUAAUUUUUGGUACCGAUAAAAUCGUACAAGAGUAUAGUAAUAAAUAAAUGGAACGAGGAUUUUAAAAAGAAGCUUCAUGAGCAUAUAACUUGAAACGGCUCUAUAAAAAGUUAA
This is a long non-coding RNA of Bombus pyrosoma, 3002 nucleotides long. RefSeq lists it as uncharacterized. Lineage: Eukaryota; Metazoa; Arthropoda; Insecta; Hymenoptera; Apidae. The transcript has 5 exons. The record is from RefSeq and is a predicted model, not a curated record.